Long non-coding RNA from Homo sapiens (human), 4387 nucleotides. RefSeq lists it as uncharacterized. The transcript has 2 exons. The record is from RefSeq and is a predicted model, not a curated record. Lineage: Eukaryota; Metazoa; Chordata; Mammalia; Primates; Hominidae.
CGGGGGACCAGGGCGUCUCUCUCCGGAGCGCUGCCGCCUCCUGGACUCCCCGCUCCAGCUCCAAGGACCGGCAUCGCUGCCGCAGCCGGGAGGCCGAGAACGCGCGGUGGCGACGCCGCCCCAGGCCACGCGGCGAGGCGGUUCCGAACGGACUCGGGAUUCGCUCCUGGGCGCUGUGGGGCCGAGUGGAGCCAAGCGGCCGUUUUUCAGCUCCGCCCUUCCGAAAGGCUGCCGCAGGGUCGGGGCCACGUGGGGCCCGCGGCAGAGGGGCUGGGGGAACGCCACGGGCGGCCCUGGUGAAGGUGCCCGCCGGUCUCGGCCUGACCCCCAGGCCCUGUUCUGGCACGCGCCCCACCUGCGCGCACAGUGAGACCGGCGCCCUAGCCUGGGAAUCCGGGGAAUCUCCAGCCCGUUGCCUUUUCCAUAACCCCGUCUUCUUUUUCACACUAGCUCUGAGGGUGGAAGGCAGGGAGGUGCCAGCCACGUUCCCUUCCACAGAGGGAACUCCCUGUUGGAAUUCCUACCCCGGCUUCCUGCCGUCUGUCCUGGAACACAUUGCUCCAGGCCUCCGAGCCUCAGUUUCCUCGUUUGCAAAAUGGGGGCGAUAACAGAGCGUCCUCAAAGGGGAUAAGACGGAAGAAGUUGGCUCAUAUCAGGGCUCAUAAUUGUUGCCAAGUAUUAACAGGGCUUGGGGCUCCUGCCCACUCGUAUCAGGUCCCGGGACCCCCCCGGUGGUGUCCUCAGGGCUCCCGCCGUCCCAGGCCGCCCUCCACUUCUGGAAGCAGACACGAGGCCACGAGACCCACUGCUUUUGGGUAUCUGCUUUCAUUCCUGACACUGCCCUUUAAGAGAAAAAAGUACCCACAUUGUUCCCAGAUGGAGAGGGUCCCUCCCAGAGGGUGAGGCACUGCCACAGGGGCUCACGGCCCUGCCAGGAGUGGAAGGUGCACACCCAGAAGUAUUUCUCCUGUGAAGGAAGGGGGCUGAGCUUCGCUGCAGACCUGGCCUCAGGUGUGGAUGAGCUUCGCUGCAGACCUGGCCUCAGGUGCGGAGUCUGCGGGAGCAGCAUUUCCAGGCAGACCUGACAGAAGGUGCCUUUGAGAGGUGGUGAGCUCCGUGUUACAGGAGGCUUGUGAGCACAGGUAGCCCAUCUUCUGGUGAUGAUGCUGGAGAAGCAAUUCAAAUGUCAGAAGCAGGACUGGACUCUGUUUCCAAAACUCACGUCUGGAUUCUACCCCCUGAAAACAUUAUUUACACAAUGUUUUUCCUUUAAACAAUUCACACAUUUGAUUAAAAGGGUAAGUUUAUUUUUUAAAAAGUCAGUGUCAAUUACCACAAAGAGGUCACCAUAAAAAUAGAUAAAAAGAAACAAAAUGGCAUUAAAUUCUAGCCAAAUAUUGCUGCCUGUGGAGGGCUCCCGGCCUGAGACCCGCCUCAGACCCCACCAGGCAUUCUUUGGGAUUCCUGCAUAGGCACCAUUGGAAAGGUAAAUCCAGAGCAAACAUUUCAGGUACAUUCGUGCAAAAUGCAGGCCCUCAGUCCUGUCCUCAAAGGCAAAUGCUGGUGCCCAGGCUCCUCAAGAGGCCCCUAGGAGCACCAGGAGGCCUUGACCCAGGUGAAGGGUCCUGCCGCAGGCCAUCAAGGGGGUCUGCAGGUCUGGCCCAACUCCAGGCCCUGCGUGGUGGGGUCCAUCUGCACCAGCUUUCGGGAGCCGACUGUGUCCUUACUCUUGCCCUAGAGGACUCGGGGGUCAGCUACAGAGCACAGCAGUGUCUUGGAACAAGGGCAGCCUGAUUAUGUGCCCUGGAACAUUCUGAACUCAAUAAGUUCUAUCCCAGCAGGGCUUUUUUUCUUUCUUUUCUUUUUUUUUUUUCUUUUUUGAGAGGAAAUAAUUAAAAGAAAAAGAAAGCGAGAACCCCCUGGCUCCCCUGUGGCCUUGCAGGGUCGUACUGCUGCCUGUCCGGGCGGCUUCAGGAGGCUCGGAACAGAUGCUGCACAUUUGUGGGCCACUUACUGUUCUCUGACAUCAUCUUUAGAGGCACCUCAAAGAGCUGAAAUGUGACAGCCUGUAUUUCCACCUCCCUCUCUCUUUAUGGACAUUGUCACUUGGAGGAAAAUCGAUCUAAAGAUCAGAAGAGAAGUGUAGAGAGAGAAGAGAGAGAAACGCUGUCAGGUCAAGGGGCAGGUUAAUGGCCAACCCAGAAACAGCGUGGGAUCCCGGUGCCUCUGCCUGGAGGGUCCAGCCUGGAACACACAUCAUUCCUAGCUUUGACCAGGAAUGGUAUCCAAAAAAUGACCUCACUUAGCUAUUAGUACUUGAUUGGGAUAAUACUUAAAAUCCUGCUAAUAUUUCUGUGGUUGCUUCCAUUCUGUAGUCAUAGUUCAUUUCUAUUUUCUAUGAAUUUGGCGUAUGUCUUAGCCAACUCAUUUGAAACUGCCUGUCCUUCCUUGACUUAUAAAAAAAUGGCCAUUUCAGCUUCGUGAUAAUGGGCAAGUCUCAGAAAUGAUGAAAACAUCAUUUAAUUGUUUCAUUAUUUCAAAGUCUCAGGCUGUGGCCAUGUGGUGGAGGCUCUAGAGAAAGUUUCUAAAAAAUAUUUUAAAAGUUACGACUGCACUGUUUUGCAUGAGAAAGAGGAUUUUGCUAAAGAUUGAAGGCGAUCGGGCUGCAGGCGAAAUGUGGCUUGAAGUCCCCAGCUCCAGAGUGGCACGUUUCAGUCUGUUAAAUGCUGUGUUCAGGUGAGGAGUUAGGAUCAUGGUACAACCCAGAUGUGGGCUGGCGGCUGGCACACAGCUUAGCAAAGAAGAGACGCACAAGGCCAGAGUGGCCUUAGGAAAAACUCAGCCUGGAGUUGUCCAAAUGUCCGCGAUGGAGGAGUUUCAUGGGGGAAUUAAGAUUGUCAGGUUAGGGAAGGGCACAGGUAGCUGGGAGGCUCUUUGGUAGCAAAAUUCCAUAGAAGAUAAAAAGCAUGUUCUCUCUUGGAAAUCAUCAGUCCAUCCUGUCGGAGCCCCUUUGGAGCAGGGUGUGGCUGGAGGGCCUGGCUUGCUGGCCACGCCUCAGUCACAGCAUUGGCUUUCCUGCGCUUCUGCUUCCUGCUCUUCCCGGUGAUCUGCGUCCUGCGGGGCGCACAGCAAGCCCUCCGUGGGACGAAGAUCUUCGUCUUCCAUCCACGCUGCUUUGCUCACCUGCGACAUGACCUGAGGCUCUGGCCCUGCUGAGCUGGGCCCUUGGCCAGUGCUGUACAAACGCCAUCCACCAUCUGGUGACAGCAGCCUAGCAAUUGACCAACAGAGGCCUCCCACUGUCCUCCCUCCUGCCGCCCUCCCUCUGCAUCUCCCAGAGCAGGACGACUCCAGGGAGACAGACUCAAUUCAAUCUUUUUCUGUUUCAGAGAAUCUGUCACCAUUAAAAGCAGCUACCAGGGAAUCUGAUUCCAUUGCACCAGGUCUCAGGUCUCAGGUCUCAGGCGUUCUUCCAAAAUGCUGGUGGAUGGUGGGCUCUCGCCCUGGGAUUAUAGAUGCCCAGAUAAACCAUAUGUAAAUAACACUGCAUUUAACCCGCCGACAAAGGGUGGCCUUCUUGACGGUGGUGAAGGAAGUUUUGACCCAGGAGAACAGAGGUCGUCAUUCACAAGCACUAGGGUCCGGUGAAAGCACAGGCUUCAGCGUCUGGACAGGCAGCUACAUGACGGUAUCAUGUUCUCUUUAGAAGCCACCAACUGAUUCCUGUGUGUUCAGAGCCUGCUGUUAGAGAUUAGGUGUGGGGUAGAAAAAAUUGGAAUCUGGACUUCCCUGCCUGGCGAGAUGGCCCUGAGCUCUGAGACAUGACCUGAGGACACCUGGAGUGCCCUGAGUUCCAGGGGACACAUAGCAGCCAAGUGGGGAAGAGGCCACUGAAUGCCGGUGGCUCCGUGGCAAAGGCACAUGGAGCUGUAGGAAGAGACAUGCUGGGGCCCCCAGCACCUGGAGAGCAGCAGCCCUGUCCACACCUGGGGCCUUGGCUGCCCACAGCCUCUCUAGAAGGGUCAUCUGAAUUUCACUGGUGAUCUGCUUGUGAGGUCUUCUGCAUACACUCUUACUUACAAAGAGGCAAACGUCUGCCAGCCCAAGGGCUUCUGGAACUGCCUCGGUCUGCCUGGCUCCUGAGCCUCCCCGCGGGUCUGGGGGUGGAGGUGUUCACAGGGUUCACUUGGCUGAGACCUCACAUUCUGGAAGGGCCUCGUGUUAGGUGAGUGAUUAUCUUAGCUUCCAAUACAACUGUGCAUGCAGUCCGGACCCGCCGAGGCACAGACCCAUCAGGUCUUCUGCUAACUCUCAUCCCGGCCCACCCAGCAUGACUAGCAAGAUUAUAUUGCAUUGAGAGUGUUUACAGUAAAAGCGUUAAAUGUAA